CAAGAAGUGACAUUGGAUUGAAGUGGCCCAAACUGAAAAGAAACAUACCAGCUGAUUGAUGUUACAUGUUUCGAAUAUUGCACAUGGUAGAGGAGUAGCGUCAUCUCCAUUCGCCAUCGUUGACGUCAUCACACUGAACAUGUAAUCACAUGCUGGAGACUGGAGUUAGAGGCAGAAUUUAAAAUAAUUUGUGGAAGAAAUAAUUAUUAAUAGAUUUAAAGAAAAACA
Molecule: long non-coding RNA, 228 nt
Filed under: Daucus carota (carrot)
Lineage: Eukaryota; Viridiplantae; Streptophyta; Magnoliopsida; Apiales; Apiaceae
Description: long non-coding RNA (DCAR_LNC007004)
Source: RNAcentral